GGAUCAUGUGAAGCAAUCUGGCUGUGACAUUUGUCACUUCACUCACUGUCAGGGUUGAUUUGGCUGAACUGGCUGGCCAUGUGGGUGUCCCCUUUCUCCCUCACUACUCCAUAUGUGUCCUUUUCUGACCCUCCAAGCUGUGCAGUAGGUCAGGGAAAAUGACUUUCCCCAUAGAGAAGGAUCAUUUCCUCAGUCAAGGGUAUACGAGUGGCUGUGCCCCCCAUGUUAGAACCUCCAGACAAGCUCACAAGAAUGCUUCUGUCCAUUCAGAGUCAUCUUGUUUUGUUUU
RNAcentral lists this small RNA (289 nucleotides) under Chinchilla lanigera (long-tailed chinchilla). Its description in RNAcentral is "7SK RNA (ENSCLAG00000021754.1)". It matches the Rfam family "7SK RNA", at positions 1 to 253 of the family's 331-position model. Rfam says of the family: 7SK was discovered as an abundant small nuclear RNA in the mid-70s but a possible function has only recently been suggested. Two independent studies have found that 7SK RNA binds the CDK9/cyclin T complex (known as elongation factor P-TEFb). Lineage: Eukaryota; Metazoa; Chordata; Mammalia; Rodentia; Chinchillidae. The record is from RNAcentral.